Triticum dicoccoides is the source of this 801-nucleotide long non-coding RNA. RefSeq lists it as uncharacterized. NCBI's taxonomy places the organism in Eukaryota, Viridiplantae, Streptophyta, Magnoliopsida, Poales, Poaceae. The record is from RefSeq and is a predicted model, not a curated record. The transcript has 4 exons.
AAACAUCGCCGCUACAUAUUCCUUGCAGUGAGUAACUUAAGUUUCUCGACAAAUUAAUUAUCAUAUACUACAUAGUUUUUUUUUAUCUUAUACAUAGUUGUUAAAUGCAACUUAAGCGUGCUUAUUAUUAUUUUGAUGUUGUACAAACACGUGGUUACCAUUUUAGAAAAAGGGCCCUGGGUUCUAGUUUCGCCCCCGAAAUCAUAGGACCCGCCCUGAGCGCAUCACCCUGGUUAGCCUGGUAAGUCCCAGCCCAUGCUCUGUUCUUAUUCUCCGGCGAGAUUUUCUCAGCCCCGCAUCUUUUUAUCUUUAUGUUUCUUCUCCGGCUUGAGGGAGUGGAUUCCCAUCACUAGAUUCUUGGAUAAAAGGAGGAGAUGCAAGAUACUCCACAACCGCAUGGACCAAACCUAUAGCUCGAUCGGCCUUGUUAAGUGACAAUAUAUUGAGAUCUAGAACAUUGCGGAGCAACGAGUGACAAAAGUAUUAGAUGAGAUGUGGAACAUUGCGGGUAACUCUUUGUUGACUGGACACAUGAGAUGCAACGUGAGCUUCUUCGCCUGUAACGGGAUGCAUUUCUCUUCCAGAUUAUUGAAGAGAUUGUUAAGGAUUGAAUGUUCUAUUUGGUACUGUCCAGAUGAGUUCGUCCUGUGCUAGAAGGUGUGUGGGAUAUAGGAGAUACCAGGAGAGAUAUUUCAGUUGCAAUCCAGCUUUAUUUCAAUGUAAAAGAUGCAGGUUCUACGAUCUCCUGUGUUGCUACAUCUUCAUCUCCUGCAUUGUUGUAACUCUGUUCUGCUGCUCGAG